RNAcentral lists this transfer RNA (66 nucleotides) under Cassianeura bimaculata. RNAcentral's name for it is "tRNA-Leu". Lineage: Eukaryota; Metazoa; Arthropoda; Insecta; Hemiptera; Cicadellidae. The record is from RNAcentral.
AUUAAAUUGACAGAUAUUAUGUAUUAAAUUUAGAAUUUAAUUAAAUGACUAUAGUCAUAUUUAAUA